GGCUGGUCCGAGUGCAGUGGUGUUUACAAAUAAUUAGUCACAACCAGUUACAGAUGUCUUUGUUCCUUCUCCAUCCCCCUGCUUCACUUGGUCAGCCUUGA
Y RNA from Callithrix jacchus (white-tufted-ear marmoset), 101 nucleotides. It matches the Rfam family "Y RNA". From Rfam's summary of the family: Y RNAs are components of the Ro ribonucleoprotein particle (Ro RNP), in association with Ro60 and La proteins. NCBI's taxonomy places the organism in Eukaryota, Metazoa, Chordata, Mammalia, Primates, Cebidae. The record is from Ensembl.